RNAcentral lists this non-coding RNA (146 nucleotides) under Paenibacillus polymyxa. RNAcentral describes it as "FMN riboswitch aptamer (RFN element)". It matches the Rfam family "FMN riboswitch aptamer (RFN element)". Rfam says of the family: The RFN element is a highly conserved domain that is found frequently in the 5'-untranslated regions of prokaryotic mRNAs that encode for flavin mononucleotide (FMN) biosynthesis and transport proteins. This element is a metabolite-dependent riboswitch that directly binds FMN in the absence of proteins. The record is from RNAcentral. Lineage: Bacteria; Bacillati; Bacillota; Bacilli; Caryophanales; Paenibacillaceae. RNAcentral also lists the same sequence under 1 other name.
AUCUUCGGGGUAGGGUGCAAUUCCCAACCGGCGGUGAUGUUCUUCGGAACCAGCCCGCGACUCGCUAAUUGUUCUUAACGAAGGACAUUCAGCGACUGACUUGGUGUGAAUCCAAGGCCGACGGUACAGUCCGGAUGAGAGAAGAU